CUCUCGGCAACGGAUAUCUCGGCUCUCGCAUCGAUGAAGAACGCAGCC
RNAcentral lists this non-coding RNA (48 nucleotides) under Emblica urinaria. Lineage: Eukaryota; Viridiplantae; Streptophyta; Magnoliopsida; Malpighiales; Phyllanthaceae. The record is from RNAcentral. RNAcentral also lists the same sequence under 1 other name.